GACGAACGCUGGCGGCGUGCUUAACACAUGCAAGUCGAACAGAAAGGCCCUGCUUUUGUGGGGUGCUCGAGUGGCGAACGGGUGAGUAACACGUGAGUAACCUGCCCUUGACUUUGGGAUAACUUCAGGAAACUGGGGCUAAUACCGGAUAGGAGCUCCUGCCGCAUGGUGGGGGUUGGAAAGUUUCGGCGGUUGGGGAUGGACUCGCGGCUUAUCAGCUUGUUGGUGGGGUAGUGGCUUACCAAGGCUUUGACGGGUAGCCGGCCUGAGAGGGUGACCGGCCACAUUGGGACUGAGAUACGGCCCAGACUCCUACGGGAGGCAGCAGUGGGGAAUAUUGCACAAUGGGCGGAAGCCUGAUGCAGCAACGCCGCGUGCGGGAUGACGGCCUUCGGGUUGUAAACCGCUUUCGCCUGUGACGAAGCGUGAGUGACGGUAAUGGGUAAAGAAGCACCGGCUAACUACGUG
RNAcentral lists this ribosomal RNA (468 nucleotides) under uncultured bacterium. Its description in RNAcentral is "partial 16S ribosomal RNA". It matches the Rfam family "Bacterial small subunit ribosomal RNA", at positions 28 to 507 of the family's 1533-position model. The record is from RNAcentral.